UACGUAGGUGGCAAGCGUUAUCCGGAUUUAUUGGGUUUAAAGGGUGCGCAGGCGGAUUUUUAAGUCAGCGGUCAAAUCGUGGGGCUCAACCCCAUCCAGCCGUUGAAACUGGCGUUCUUGAGUGAGCGAGAAGUAUGCGGAAUGCGUGGUGUAGCGGUGAAAUGCAUAGAUAUCACGCAGAACUCCGAUUGCGAAGGCAGCAUACCGGCGCCCAACUGACGCUGAGGCGCGAAAGCAUGGGUAGCGAACAGG
This 252-nucleotide ribosomal RNA is filed under the name uncultured Bacteroidales bacterium. RNAcentral describes it as "partial 16S ribosomal RNA". It matches the Rfam family "Bacterial small subunit ribosomal RNA", at positions 524 to 776 of the family's 1533-position model. The record is from RNAcentral. Lineage: Bacteria; Pseudomonadati; Bacteroidota; Bacteroidia; Bacteroidales.